UACGAAGGUCCCAAGCGUUAUCCGGAUUUAUUGGGUUUAAAGGGUGCGUAGGCGGAUUAUUAAGUCAGUGGUGAAAGCUCUCAGCCUAACUGAGAAAUUGCCAUUGAUACCGAUGAUCUUGAGUACAUUUGAAGUGGGCGGAAUGUGUCAUGUAGCGGUGAAAUGCUUAGAUAUGACACAGAACACCGAUUGCGUAGGCAGCUCACUAAACUGUAACUGACGCUGAGGCACGAAAAGCGUGGGGAGCAAACAGG
Molecule: ribosomal RNA, 254 nt
Filed under: uncultured bacterium
Lineage: Bacteria
Description: partial 16S ribosomal RNA
Rfam family: Bacterial small subunit ribosomal RNA
Source: RNAcentral